GUGUGAGUGCUGUUUGUGGUUCUUGUUGCCCGGAAAGAUGGUUUGUUCGGCGGGAAGCCAGUUCUGAAAGAUUUCCUUUGUGUUCUAGGAUGCGGUGACGAAAGCAUACACGCACGGUGACGUUGACGCUCCCAUAGCAAUGAGAGAGAAGUAGAAAUCGUUUCAAUUCUACGGCGAAGGGCAAGUGACAAGAAGUGUGACUCAGAGAAGCAAUUACUACAACAGGAAGUCCCGGCGCCCGCGAGUCCUUGGCUGGGUCUGAUUCCCGCCCGAAGGUGUGCAGAAGCCCCGCGCCCAAUGGUCUCCGCCGCCCAUUCAACCGCACGCCCACGACAGACCUUGCCUGUGGGGGCUUGACCACCGUUAGCGUGAAAGGAGAAUGUCGCAAAUGCAUAAACGCCGUCCAGACAAUCAUGAUCGUGACAUGAACCUCAGGAGUGAUAAUCCGGCCUUGAUACCGAAACCCGCUGGCAGUUAUCGUGAGGAAUCUACAGGACACUGAGAUUCCUGAGAAGUUCUUUACAGACAUUCUGCUCAGACUUAUAACGGAAACUUCACGAGGUCUAAAAUUACCUAGAGACAGAGGCAAUAAGAAGCAAUGCCACGCGUAUGCAGCUGCGGCCUGAGCUGUGCCUGCGGAGGAAUGACAAG
Molecule: long non-coding RNA, 651 nt
Organism: Penaeus chinensis
Lineage: Eukaryota; Metazoa; Arthropoda; Malacostraca; Decapoda; Penaeidae
Exons: 5
Source: RefSeq, a predicted model, not a curated record